Molecule: ribosomal RNA, 194 nt
Filed under: uncultured bacterium
Lineage: Bacteria
Description: partial 16S ribosomal RNA
Rfam family: Bacterial small subunit ribosomal RNA
Source: RNAcentral
CCUACGGGAGGCAGCAGUGGGGAAUAUUGCACAAUGGGCGCAAGCCUGAUGCAGCCAUGCCGCGUGUGUGAAGAAGGCCUUCGGGUUGUAAAGCACUUUCAGCGGGGAGGAAAGCGUUGAGGUUAAUAACCUUGGCGAUUGACGUUACCCGCACAACAAGCACCGGCUAACUCCGUGCCAGCAGCCGCGGUAAU